GCGUCACCGGUCGGCUGGAGUUUGGCUUCUUCUUCUCCGCGGGUUUCAGGAUCUGUCGAAAAAAAAGGAGAAGGGACACAAAACGGCCAGCAAAAUGGACGACAGAAGGCAGGAGAACUUCAUGUACAAGUCACCUGGAGAAUCUGCCCUCCUGAUAGAUUGACUGGGGAAGGUUGUUCCUCCACUUGGGGAUGAAGACACAGGACAGCCAGGGCCGUGAGGAGAGACUGCAGGGUGCUCAGAGAGACUGCAAGGAGCUCAGGGAGACUGCCGGGUGCUCAGAGACACGGGACAGCCAGCUGGUGAGAUGUGGCAUGUGAUGUCAUCACAGAGUGAAGACAGGAAGGGGCAGUACCAUUCACAGGUAUGCCUGUGUCAGUGAUAUGAAAUGAGU
Long non-coding RNA from Anguilla anguilla (European eel), 394 nucleotides. RefSeq lists it as uncharacterized. The transcript is spliced from 3 exons. The record is from RefSeq and is a predicted model, not a curated record. NCBI's taxonomy places the organism in Eukaryota, Metazoa, Chordata, Actinopteri, Anguilliformes, Anguillidae.